AGAAGUGACUGCCUGAUACAAUGUAAAGACAAGUGACUGCCUGAUACAAUGUAACUCAUCUGAAACUAAAUCUUUCAUUUAAUCAUUCUGAGAUCUCCAAUGCUUGUGCUUUAGAAUUCCGGACCAUGACAUAUUAGAUCCCUCUAAUGGAAUAUGUGAAAUGUUUGAUUGGAUUAAUACUAUACUACUAUAUAUAUAUUUAUAUAAAUAUACAUAUAGCUUAUGAAACGCAUCUGGAUUGAAAAGUACAACAUUAUCUUCUAAAAAAGAUGUAAAAUUCUAUGGAUUGUAUUACAAAAAAACAAGCAAACAAGAAAAGCAAGCUGUACUGGCAGUGUUUUUCAACCAGUGUGCCGUGAGAGAUCCUCAGGUGUACCGCGGCAGAUUGACAACAGUGCGGGGGUGUCCCUCUUUCAAAUGUUGAAAUAUUGCUUUUCCAAUGCAGCAACCAGAAAUCUAUCUCCUACUGAUGAGUUCCAAAAAGAACGAAGAGAGAGAGAGAGAGAGAGAGAGAGAGAGAGAGAUGCUUGUUUUGACUCGUCACAUUUUCUACCUGUCAGCACCGAAGCCAAAGUGUUAAAAUAUAUUUCAAUAAAGCGUGCCUUUUUAUAAACAUUUUAAUAAAGUGUAUUUUUCUUUUAUUUUAAUAAAUGGAUUUUUUUCAGCCUAUGUUAUUUUCUGCCUUUGGCAAUAAAAUGGUUCAAUAACAA
This is a long non-coding RNA of Bombina bombina (fire-bellied toad), 710 nucleotides long. RefSeq lists it as uncharacterized. The record is from RefSeq and is a predicted model, not a curated record. NCBI's taxonomy places the organism in Eukaryota, Metazoa, Chordata, Amphibia, Anura, Bombinatoridae. The transcript is spliced from 3 exons.